Long non-coding RNA from Leptopilina boulardi, 515 nucleotides. RefSeq lists it as uncharacterized. The transcript is spliced from 3 exons. The record is from RefSeq and is a predicted model, not a curated record. NCBI's taxonomy places the organism in Eukaryota, Metazoa, Arthropoda, Insecta, Hymenoptera, Figitidae.
CCUGAAACGUACCAAUUUAAUGAAAAAAUUAACUUUGAACUGCCAUUAACAGAUUUGGAAAAGUUCAAAGACUUCGAACUUAAAUUGCAAGAAGCCGAUUUUAGGCAGAAAUUCUCAUCAGUCUUAAAGAUCAAUUUUGACCCGAAGCUUAAUGUUAGGAAAAGCGUUACUAACAUAUUAAGAAAGGUUUUGUCAAAAAGCGUUGGACUUCAAUUUGUGACGUCAAAGCAAACUGAGGGAAAACAACUGUUCAAAGAUACUGAGCUAUUCUCUCUUCUUCUUUCUGUUAUUUCUUCUACCCACAAGGAAGGAAAAGAAAAUAAAGAUGCAGUGACCGAGAAAUCUUUAUUAAAAGAAUUAAGCUCUGUUCUCCCAAAUGCAAAAGACUGGGAUGGAGGACGUAGUAGUCGCAAAAAAAAGAUAUUUUAAAAAAUAAAAAUGCAAAAGGAGAAAUUGCAGGCGAAAGAGAAGACGGAGAAAACGAAGAAGACGAAGAAUGUUAAAUAAUAAUCACA